CGCCUUUUGCUUAAUAUAAGAGGUCCAGCCUGCCCAGUGAAAAUUUAACGGCCGCGGUACCCUGACCGCGCGAAGGUAGCAUAAUCACUCGUUCUUUAAAUAGGGACUUGUAUCAAUGGCAUCACGAGGGUCGCACUGUCUCCUCCCUCUAAUCAGUGAACCUGAUCUCUCCGUGAAGAAGCGGGGAUAAAAAUAUAAGACGAGAAGACCCCAUGGAGCUUUAAACCUAAAGCAAUCUAAUCAAAUAAACCCCCACAUAAUUUAAAUAUGCAUAACGGUUUUAGGUUGGGGUGACCGCGGAGUAAAAACAAACCUCCACAGCGAAAAGAAAUUAAUCUUAUUCAAGAGCUACUACUCUAAAAAUUAGCACACUAACGAACAAUGACCCGAUAAUCGAUCAAUGGACCAAGUUACCCUGGGGAUAACAGCGCAAUCUACUUCAAGAGCCCAUAUCGACAAGUAGGCUUACGACCUCGAUGUUGGAUCAGGGUAUCCCAGUGGUGCAACCGCUACUAAUGGUUCGUUUGUUCAACGAUUAAAACCCCU
Molecule: ribosomal RNA, 546 nt
Filed under: Chirixalus doriae (Doria's Asian treefrog)
Lineage: Eukaryota; Metazoa; Chordata; Amphibia; Anura; Rhacophoridae
Description: Chiromantis doriae (Doria's Asian treefrog) partial 16S ribosomal RNA
Rfam family: Bacterial large subunit ribosomal RNA
Source: RNAcentral